Molecule: ribosomal RNA, 460 nt
Filed under: uncultured bacterium
Lineage: Bacteria
Description: partial 16S ribosomal RNA
Rfam family: Bacterial small subunit ribosomal RNA
Source: RNAcentral
CCUACGGGAGGCAGCAGUGAGGAAUAUUGGUCAAUGGCCGGAAGGCUGAACCAGCCAUGCCGCGUGAAGGUCAGUGCCCUAUGGGCGUUAAACGUCAUAUGUGCGGGAGCAAUAAUGGUCACGUGUGGCCAGACGAGAGUACCGUACGAAUAAGCAUCGGCUAACUCCGGGCCAGCAGCCGCGGUAAUACGGGGGAUGCAAGCGUUAUCCGGAGUUAUUGGGUUUAAAGGGUGCGUAGGCUGGGAGGUAAGUCAGCGGUGAAAUGCCCCCGCUCAACGGGGUGAAGUGCCAUUGAUACUGCCUGGCUGGAAUGCGGAUGCCGUGGGAGGAAUGUGUGGUGUAGCGGUGAAAUGCAUAGAUAUCACACAGAACACCGAUUGCGAAGGCAUCUCACGAAUCCGCGAUUGACGCUGAUGCACGAAAGCGUGGGUAUCAAACAGGAUUAGAUACCCCUGUAGUC